UACGGAGGAUGCGAGCGUUAUCCGGAUUUAUUGGGUUUAAAGGGUGCGUUGGCGGAUCGUUAAGUCAGUGGUCAAAUUGAGGGGCUCAACCCCUUCCCGCCAUUGAAACUGGCGCUCUUGAGUGGAAGAGAAGUAUGCGGAAUGCGUGGUGUAGCGGUGAAAUGCAUAGAUAUCACGCAGAACCCCGAUUGCGAAGGCAGCAUGCCGGCUUCCGACUGACGCUGAAGCACGAAAGCGUGGGGAUCGAACAGG
Molecule: ribosomal RNA, 252 nt
Filed under: uncultured bacterium
Lineage: Bacteria
Description: partial 16S ribosomal RNA
Rfam family: Bacterial small subunit ribosomal RNA
Source: RNAcentral